Molecule: ribosomal RNA, 207 nt
Filed under: uncultured bacterium
Lineage: Bacteria
Description: partial 16S ribosomal RNA
Rfam family: Bacterial small subunit ribosomal RNA
Source: RNAcentral
CGCGUAGGCGGUUUUUUAAGUCUGAUGUGAAAGCCCACGGCUCAACCGUGGAGGGUCAUUGGAAACUGGAAAACUUGAGUGCAGAAGAGGAAAGUGGAAUUCCACGUGUAGCGGUGAAAUGCGCAGAGAUAUGGAGGAACACCAGUGGCGAAGGCGACUUUCUGGUCUGUAACUGACGCUGAUGUGCGAAAGCGUGGGGAUCAAACA